This 114-nucleotide ribosomal RNA is filed under the name Carlito syrichta (Philippine tarsier). The record is from RNAcentral. Lineage: Eukaryota; Metazoa; Chordata; Mammalia; Primates; Tarsiidae.
GUCUAUGGCCAUACCACCUUGAAGGCACCCAGUAUCUGAUCUUGGAACCUAAGCAUGGUCGGGCCUGGUUCGUACUUGGAUUGGGCAUACUGGGCAUACUGUAUGCUGCAGGCU